AAAAAAGAUUGAUUUUAUUACGACAUGCUAUUUUUUCCAUUCAUUACCUUUGAGGAUCAGUCGUGGUCUUCUAGACUCUACCAAGAGUCUGGACGAAUUUGUUGUUUCAUCCAAAUGUGUAAAAGAUCAUAG
Molecule: ribosomal RNA, 132 nt
Filed under: Triticum aestivum (bread wheat)
Lineage: Eukaryota; Viridiplantae; Streptophyta; Magnoliopsida; Poales; Poaceae
Description: partial small subunit ribosomal RNA
Source: RNAcentral